This 50-nucleotide small RNA is filed under the name Arabidopsis thaliana (thale cress). Its description in RNAcentral is "ATSL266230". The record is from RNAcentral. Lineage: Eukaryota; Viridiplantae; Streptophyta; Magnoliopsida; Brassicales; Brassicaceae.
GAUGAAACUUCAAGUUCAUCCAUCUCGUAUUGAAUUCCACUCUAGAAUCA